ACGACGUAACUGAUUUCAUCCCGGACCGUCAGCCUGACUUCCCCGACAAGAAGUUCGAGAAGGUGACGGGGGAUCCGUUCUUCGUCGAUGAGAGCGUUCUGGUUUACCCUAUCCAGGGUUUCCCCGAUCAGGAGAUCUGUGACGUUUCUACAAAAACCAUUAAUGACCACCUCAAUCGCUUCAGUUCCACCAGCCGCAUCCUGCAACAGCGUCAGACCAUCGAGCUGGUGCCUCUGACUCACGCUUAUUACACUUACAGUGGAAAAGACUACAGCUUCUUCGUGUACGGAGUGGAGAACAAGGUCUUUGCGGCCAAAUAUCCCACUGCAUGUACUAUUCUAUAAGUAACAUGAGGAAGUAUUUAAUCCUCACAGUACGUGUUCUGUGUAGUGCAGGUCGUAUACUGUAGGAGGGAAAGGGCAGCAGGCAGAAAAAGGCGGAAUAAUCGCUUAAAUGUACCUACCUGUAUUCACCAAAAAUCUAUAGUAGCAGUAUCCAGUUUACUUUUCGUGUGACGACAUUAAUCGUCCGUAUUCACUGUUCAAUAUGCCUUCACAUUUCAGCAUGUGACAAUAUGGUGCUUUAAAUGACCAAACGAAGCCUUAACGUUGUGCUAAAACUUUUACAUUUUUUGUACAAUAUUCCUCAGGACAGGACACUAUCUCAUAAAGCUACAGAUCUAUGGAGGAUCAAAUCUGCCAAAAUAAAUAAAUAAUUGAAAUACAAAAAAAAGAUGACAAAUAAAAAUCCCAAUAAUUUAAUAAAUAUUAUGACAAGAAAAGCUGUGCAAAGG
Plectropomus leopardus (leopard coralgrouper) is the source of this 793-nucleotide non-coding RNA. Lineage: Eukaryota; Metazoa; Chordata; Actinopteri; Perciformes; Serranidae. The record is from RefSeq and is a predicted model, not a curated record.